This 271-nucleotide ribosomal RNA is filed under the name uncultured archaeon. RNAcentral describes it as "partial 16S ribosomal RNA". It matches the Rfam family "Archaeal small subunit ribosomal RNA", at positions 477 to 747 of the family's 1478-position model. The record is from RNAcentral.
CGGCAGCUCAAGUGGUGGCCACGCUUAUUGGGCCUAAAGCGUCCGUAGCCGGUUUGAUAAAUCUUUUGUGAAAUUGUACAGCUUAACUGUACAGCGUGCAAGAGACACUGUCAAACUUGAGACCGGGAGGAGUCAGAAGUAUUCCAGAGGGAGCGGUAAAAUGUUAUAAUCUCUGGAGGACUACCUGUGGCGAAGGCGUCUGACCAGAACGGAUCUGACGGUGAGGGACGAAAGCCAGGGGAGCGAACCGGAUUAGAUACCCGAGUAGUCC